AAAGCCUUGAAUGAAUUCAAGAGAAGACCUUGGAGUGAGGCAUUUCAAGUCCUUAAAGAAAGCAACUUCAAACCCAGAUUGAUGUACCCUGUAAAGCUAUCUUUCAAAAUUA
Molecule: long non-coding RNA, 112 nt
Organism: Octodon degus (degu)
Lineage: Eukaryota; Metazoa; Chordata; Mammalia; Rodentia; Octodontidae
Exons: 3
Source: RefSeq, a predicted model, not a curated record